GGGUGAGUAACGCGUGGGUAACCUACCCUGUACAGGGGGAUAACAGUCAGAAAUGACUGCUAAUACCGCAUAAGACCACAGCACCGCAUGGUGCAGGGGUAAAAACUCCGGUGGUACAGGAUGGACCCGCGUCUGAUUAGCUGGUUGGUGAGGUAACGGCUCACCAAGGCGACGAUCAGUAGCCGGCUUGAGAGAGUGAACGGCCACAUUGGGACUGAGACACGGCCCAAACUCCUACGGGAGGCAGCAGUGGGGAAUAUUGCACAAUGGGGGAAACCCUGAUGCAGCGACGCCGCGUGAGUGAAGAAGUAUUUCGGUAUGUAAAGCUCUAUCAGCAGGGAAGAAAAUGACGGUACCUGACUAAGAAGCCCCGGCUAACUACGUGCCAGCAGCCGCGGUAAUACGUAGGGGGCAAGCGUUAUCCGGAAUUACUGGGUGUAAAGGGUGCGUAGGUGGUAUGGCAAGUCAGAAGUGAAAACCCAGGGCUUAACUCUGGGACUGCUUUUGAAACUGUCAGACUGGAGUGCAGGAGAGGUAAGCGGAACUCCUAGUGUAGCGGUGAAAUGCGUAGAUAUUAGGAGGAACAUCAGUGGCGAAGGCGGCUUACUGGACUGAAACUGACACUGAGGCACGAAAGCGUGGGGAGCAAACAAAAUUAGAUACCCUGGUAGUCCACGCCGUAAAACGAUGAAUACUAGGUUUCGGGCCCGUAGAGGCUUCGGUGCCCCCACCCAACGCAGUAAUUUUUCCACCUGGGGAGUACGUUCGCAAGAAUGAAACUCAAAGGAAUUGACGGGGACCCGCACAAGCGGUGGAGCAUGUGGUUUAAUUCGAAGCAACGCGAAGAACCUUACCUGGUCUUGACAUCCUUCUGACCGGUCCUUAUCGGACCUUUCCUUCGGGACAGGAGUGACAGGUGGUGCAUGGUUGUCGUCAGCUCGUGUCGUGAGAUGUUGGGUUAAGUCCCGCAACGAGCGCAACCCCUAUCUUUAGUAGCCAGCAUUUCAGGUGGGCACUCUAGAGAGACUGCCAGGGAUAACCUGGAGGAAGGUGGGGACGACGUCAAAUCAUCAUGCCCCUUAUGACCAGGGCUACACACGUGCUACAAUGGCGUAAACAGAGGGAAGCAGCCUCGUGAGAGUGAGCAAAUCCCAAAAAUAACGUCUCAGUUCGGAUUGUAGUCUGCAACUCGACUACAUGAAGCUGGAAUCGCUAGUAAUCGCGAAUCAGAAUGUCGCGGUGAAUACGUUCCCGGGUCUUGCACU
RNAcentral lists this ribosomal RNA (1265 nucleotides) under uncultured bacterium. Its description in RNAcentral is "bacterial SSU rRNA". It matches the Rfam family "Bacterial small subunit ribosomal RNA", at positions 104 to 1387 of the family's 1533-position model. The record is from RNAcentral.